Molecule: long non-coding RNA, 873 nt
Filed under: Salmo salar (Atlantic salmon)
Lineage: Eukaryota; Metazoa; Chordata; Actinopteri; Salmoniformes; Salmonidae
Description: lncRNA (ENSSSAG00000119025.1)
Source: RNAcentral
AGACGAAAGAUGAUCAACAUUCUUGUUUCGCCGAUGACAGAGACUCAUGGGACAUCACAACUGCGCAGGGUGAGAGAGACGUUUGCACAAGGCAUCGUCUCCUUGUUCCCAUACCUGAAGGAUUCCUACACCGCAAAUGGAUAUGAACAUUAUUACAACGCUAAUAGUGGAGAAGGGUACCUCUCGUAUAGAAUCAAAACCAUUCAGAGAAAUUUGGCUUCAUCAGAGAAACGGCCCACUUAAAUAUACUCUGGAGGUCUAACUGCUGAGAGGGAGUCCAGUCUAUCCACUUUGGCUACCCUGAGUGAAGACCAGUGCCGAGAGGCCAUUUCUCUUAUGAAGCAUUCUUCUGAUGAAGAAACAGUCAAACAGAAGAUGAAAUUGACCUUUGAGUACAGGAAGAAGAUGACCCACGACCCGAGUAAAUGCUCCACCAUCCUAACUGAAUUUCCACGCUUUCUUGAUGUGAAGGGCUGGAUUGAACAGGAUUUUGUGCUGCGAGAGGGAGAGGGAACAUCAGCCAAGGUUUUGGAGAGGUGGCCAACUACAUUCAAGCAAAAGAUCAUCAUGCUAAGCAAGACCCUAAGCAAGACUACUCAGGGAGCUGAACUUCAGGAGCUGAUCCAGAUGGCAGAAUCUGCAGUUGAUGAGGGAGCUGACAUGAAUGCUGAUGGAUGGGACGGUGACAUUUCCUCCAUCCUUCUCCUGCUCCAUUUGACUCCUCCUUCAUCACAAGGCCGCAAAAGACCAGGAAAGAUGUCUGCAUCCCAAGCUGAACAUCAUCUUGUGAUAUUCCAAAAGGCAGGAACCAGUAUCCAGGAGCUCCUUGAUGUGAUUGACCAGAGCCGCCAACCAUAUCUUCUUGCAGUCGGG